This 447-nucleotide ribosomal RNA is filed under the name uncultured bacterium. RNAcentral's name for it is "partial 16S ribosomal RNA". It matches the Rfam family "Bacterial small subunit ribosomal RNA", at positions 29 to 523 of the family's 1533-position model. The record is from RNAcentral.
AACGAACGCUGGCGGCAGGCUUAACACAUGCAAGUCGAACGCCCCGCAAGGGGAGUGGCAGACGGGUGAGUAACGCGUGGGAAUAUACCGUACCCUACGGAACAACAGUUGGGAAAGACUGCUAAUACCGUAUACGCCCUACGGGGGAAAGAUUUAUCGGGGUAUGAUGAGUCCGCGUUGGAUUAGCAAGUUGGUGGGGUAAAGGCCUACCAAGGCGACGAUCCAUAGCUGGUCGGAGAGGAUGAUCAGCCACAUUGGGACUGAGACACGGCCCAAACUCCUACGGGAGGCAGCAGUGGGGAAUAUUGGACAAUGGGCGCAAGCCUGAUCCAGCCAUGCCGCGUGAGUGAUGAAGGUCUUAGGAUUGUAAAGCUCUUUCACCGAUGAAGAUAAUGACGGUAGUCGGAGAAGAAGCCCCGGCUAACUUCGUGCCAGCAGCCGCCGCAG